CCUACGGGAGGCAGCAGUGGGGAAUAUUGGGCAAUGGGCGCAAGCCUGACCCAGCAACGCCGCGUGAAGGAAGAAGGCUUUCGGGUUGUAAACUUCUUUUAAGAGGGAAGAGCAGAAGACGGUACCUCUUGAAUAAGCCACGGCUAACUACGUGCCAGCAGCCGCGGUAAUACGUAGGGGGCAAGCGUUGUCCGGAUUUACUGGGUGUAAAGGGCGUGCAGCCGGGAAGACAAGUCAGAUGGGAAAGCCCGCGGCUCAACCGCGGAACUGCAUUUGAAACUGUUUUGCUUGAGUACCGGAGAGGUCAGCGGAAUUCCUUGUGUAGCGGUGAAAUGCGUAGAUAUAAGGAAGAACACCAGUGGCGAAGGCGGAUGACUGGACGGCAACUGACGGUGAGGCGCGAAAGCGUGGGGAGCAAACAGGAUUAGAUACCCGAGUAGUC
This 442-nucleotide ribosomal RNA is filed under the name uncultured bacterium. RNAcentral describes it as "partial 16S ribosomal RNA". It matches the Rfam family "Bacterial small subunit ribosomal RNA", at positions 338 to 795 of the family's 1533-position model. The record is from RNAcentral.